This 369-nucleotide ribosomal RNA is filed under the name uncultured bacterium. RNAcentral describes it as "bacterial SSU rRNA". It matches the Rfam family "Bacterial small subunit ribosomal RNA", at positions 525 to 896 of the family's 1533-position model. The record is from RNAcentral.
ACGGAGGUUGCAAGCGUUAUCCGGAUUUAUUGGGUUUAAAGGGUGCGUAGGCGGAAUUGUAAGUCAGUGGUGAAAACCUGCAGCUUAACUGUAGAACUGCCAUUGAUACUGCCAUUCUUGAGUAUAGUUGAGGUGGGCGGAAUGUGUAAUGUAGCGGUGAAAUGCUUAGAUAUUACACAGAACACCAAUUGCGUAGGCAGCUCACUAAACUAUAACUGACGCUGAGGCACGAAAGCGUGGGGAGCAAACAGGAUUAGAUACCCUGGUAGUCCACGCCGUAAACGAUGAUCACUCGAUGUGUGCGAUAUACUGUACGCGUCUAAGUAAAAGCAUUAAGUGAUCCACCUGGGGAGUACGUCGGCAACGAUG